Felis catus (domestic cat) is the source of this 1535-nucleotide long non-coding RNA. RefSeq lists it as uncharacterized. The record is from RefSeq and is a predicted model, not a curated record. Lineage: Eukaryota; Metazoa; Chordata; Mammalia; Carnivora; Felidae. The transcript is spliced from 2 exons.
CGAACGGGUUGGCGGCCGGCUCCUCCUCCUCCUCGGUCUGGGGCACGUAGUCCGUCUUCAUCAGCGACUUGCGGUACACGAGCAGGGGGUUCAUAUCCCCUUCCCCAAAGCUAGUACCUCAGGGAGGCCCCCUGUCUGGCACAGGCAGCCAACACAAGACACGUGGCCAGCACCCCCACCCCCGGGGUCGGAGGCUCAAGAGAUCCAGAGAGGCGUCUCCUGGACCUGCAGCCCCCGCCCAGAGCUGAGUGAGUGCCCGUGACGACCGGGUCCCGGACGACAGUGCCGCUCGCCGAUGACCUCUUCCGCAGAGGACAGGGGCGGGGCUCCUGCUGGGAGCCACGCCGAGGCCAGGGUGCCAGGGGAGCACCCGUGACUGCCCACACGGGGAUCCGGGGUCCCCGCACCAUCCGGCGGUCACCCCAGUCCGCCACGUCACAUCUGCUCAGCAGCAGCUCCCCGGGCCUGCCCCGGAGGCGGACUCAACAGAAAACCAGGAGCGAGAAAGAUGCUCCCAGUCCGAGGAGGCACACGCAGAGCGGGCCCUGACGUGGCGGGGACGUGCCCGCCAACGUUCCACGCGUGCCCUGGGGCAUCUGUGGGUCGUCCGAACAGGUCACGUGAGACCCGUCCCACAACGGGAGGAACAAGGCCGCUUCCCGAGGAAGAACCAAUGGCAGGAAAGCAUCAGAGAUAAAGGGAGGCCUCGGGGCAAGCGUCCAGAAGGUGCUCACGCUCCAGAACCCGGAAACAGAGGCCACGUGCCGGAAAACCGCCACGCAGGCUGUCCGCCAGAGACCCUGCCGGCCUGUAAGUCCACACUGGCUCUGCCACACCCUCCCGUCCUUGCCCGUCGUGACACGAGAGGCAGACGCACCCGUGUGAAAAGCAGAACAGAGCACGGAACAAGCCACGCUUCACGGCCACGGGUGCCACGUACGUGGGUAAGGCGACCACCACGGGAUGGAAGAAUAGAUGCGGACGCCCUCUCACGCCGUGUCAUGACAGAGGGACGCCCAUCCUGAGGUUCAGUGGACGGAGCUGGGGGUGACGCCCACCCGGAGGAUCAGGGACACCCCGCCCCCAGUUCAUUGUGCGAGGACACACGUGGAACCCCCCCGGGGACAAUCCAGCCCAACACUGGGGCACGGCGGCCCCCUGACCCCCACGACGCGGUGACGCCCCUCCGUCUAGGAAGCCGUGGGCACACGCGUCCACCUGCCACGUGUCCCCGCAACACCCUGUGACCGCAUCCUCCUUUGUCCUCCCGUCCUUGAACAGCAGAGGAACCCGACACAAAGGUCCCACGACCCUGAGGUGGGGCCGACCGCGGAAGCCAACUGCGGGGGACUGAAUCAGUCCCCCGAAUCCACCUGCGCAAGCCUGACCACCGAGGGGGCCCUGGCAGCUGGCGAGGAGCAGAUCAGGUCAGGACGGCGGGGCCCACGCAGUGCGUUAGUGCUCUCGAAGGUGUCCCUAGAGCUUCCUGCCCUCCGCCCACAGCCACGUGGGGACACGGCAGAGGGGACCGUGUG